UUGCACCCAGAAGCUAGCCUUACUCAA
Molecule: non-coding RNA, 27 nt
Filed under: Mus musculus (house mouse)
Lineage: Eukaryota; Metazoa; Chordata; Mammalia; Rodentia; Muridae
Source: RNAcentral